Molecule: ribosomal RNA, 496 nt
Filed under: uncultured Verrucomicrobium sp.
Lineage: Bacteria; Pseudomonadati; Verrucomicrobiota; Verrucomicrobiia; Verrucomicrobiales; Verrucomicrobiaceae
Description: bacterial SSU rRNA
Rfam family: Bacterial small subunit ribosomal RNA
Source: RNAcentral
GGGCGUAAAGCGUACGUAGGCGGGUUGUUAAGUUAGAGGUCGAAAUCCCAGGGCUNAACCCUGGAACUGCAUCCGAUACUGCCGUGCUUGAGUAUUGGAGGGGAGUCUGGAAUUCUCGGUGUAGCAGUGAAAUGCGUAGAUAUCGAGAGGAACACUAGUGGCGAAGGCGAGACUCUGGACAAUAACUGACGCUGAGAGACGAAGGCCAGGGUAGCGAAAAGGAUUAGAUACCCUUGUAGUCCUGGCAGUAAACGGUGCACGCUUGGUUGGGAGGACUCGACCCCUUCCGUGCCGGAGCUAACGCGUUAAGCGUGCCGCCUGGGGAGUACGGCCGCAAGGCUAAAACUCAAAGAAAUUGACGGGGGCCCGCACAAGCGGUGGAGCAUGUGGUUUAAUUCGAUGCAACGCGAAAAACCUUACCAACCCUUGACAUCUAGUGAAAUUUCUAGAGAUAGAUUUGUGCCUUCGGGAACACUAUGACAGGUGUUGCAUGGCU